Molecule: ribosomal RNA, 513 nt
Filed under: uncultured bacterium
Lineage: Bacteria
Description: bacterial SSU rRNA
Rfam family: Bacterial small subunit ribosomal RNA
Source: RNAcentral
GAUGAACGCUGGCGGCGUGCCUCAAACAUGCAAGUCGAGCGGGGCUAUGUAAUAUCGCAAGGUAGAACAUAGCCUAGCGGCGAACGGGUGAGUAACACGUGGGUAACCUGCCUGGAAGACAGGGAUAACGAUUCGAAAGGGUCGCUAAUACCUGAUAAUAUCCUUUCAUCGCAUGGUGAUAGGAAGAAAGGGGAAACCCGCUUUCAGAUGGGCCCGCGUCCCAUCAGCUAGUUGGUAAGGUAAAGGCUUACCAAGGCGACGACGGGUAGCCGGUCUGAGAGGAUGUACGGCCACACUGGGACUUUGAGAUACGGCCCAGACUCCUACGGGAGGCAGCAGUUGGGAAUCUUAGGCAAUGGACGAAAGUCUGACCUAGCGACGCCGCGUGAGGGAAGAAGGCCUCGGUUGUAACGUACUGUCAUGGGGAAGGAAGGUAAGUAGACGGUACCCGAACGAACGGAAGACCCGUCGCUAACUAACGUGCCACGCAGACCGCGGUAACGAACGAGAGUA